UACGGGGGGUGCGAGCGUUGUCCGGAAUCACUGGGCGUAAAGGGCGCGUAGGUGGCAUGAUAAGCGUGCGGUGAAAGCUCGGAGCUCAACUCCGAGUCGGCCGUGCGAACUGGGCUCACUGGAGCAUAGUAGAGGCAGGUGGAAUUCCGGGUGUAGCGGUGGAAUGCGUAGAGAUCCGGAAGAACACCGGUGGCGAAAGGCGGCCUGCUGGGCUAUGGCUGACACUGAGGCGCGGACAGCGUGGGGAGCAAACAGG
Molecule: ribosomal RNA, 256 nt
Filed under: uncultured bacterium
Lineage: Bacteria
Description: partial 16S ribosomal RNA
Rfam family: Bacterial small subunit ribosomal RNA
Source: RNAcentral